This is a long non-coding RNA of Myotis lucifugus (little brown bat), 267 nucleotides long. RefSeq lists it as uncharacterized. NCBI's taxonomy places the organism in Eukaryota, Metazoa, Chordata, Mammalia, Chiroptera, Vespertilionidae. The record is from RefSeq and is a predicted model, not a curated record. The transcript has 2 exons.
CAGGGCACUGUGGGUAGACCCUUUCCUGAGAGGGCUGUUUCGGAACUCCAGGAUUUCCAUAUCAAGGGGUGAUACACCCUUUGUUCCUUUGUCAUCCUGGACUCUUCCUGACCACCACCCCAUCUGCUUGAUGACCAAGCCUGUGAUCCCACUACCUGACAACGCUGUGACUGUGUGCUCGUCUCCACCUCAGCUUUCUUACCUUAGCUCAAGCCUAUCUUUAAUCUCAUCUCUAUGCUGCUGUCAGAAUAAACUUUCUGGGAUGUA